This is a long non-coding RNA of Lynx canadensis (Canada lynx), 99 nucleotides long. RefSeq lists it as uncharacterized. The record is from RefSeq and is a predicted model, not a curated record. The transcript is spliced from 3 exons. Lineage: Eukaryota; Metazoa; Chordata; Mammalia; Carnivora; Felidae.
AACUGUUCUGUAUUUUGAUUAUGGUAGUGAUUACAUGAAUCUAUACAUGCAUUAAAAUUCAUAGAACUUUACACAAAAAAGAAAAAAAAGAAUAAAAUU